UUUUGGGGGGGGAUGAAGAAAAUUAGAAAGAAAAUCUCUAGGUCUUACUUCUAAUUUUAGGUUGAAAGAAGAACAAUUAAGGAGAAAAGAUGAGUUGGGAAUAGUAUUCAAUAAGACUCAAGAAGAAGAAAAAGGUAGUUGGCAAGACCAGAUCAGGCAAUGAUGAAGCUGAUGAUGAAUACACUCAGUAAACAUACAGGAUACUCAAAAGAAGUAGGAAAUUGCUUUUUUUCAGCUCUAGGAAGUAGGUGCUUCUAUCAUCCCCAAUUUACAACUGAGGAAACAAGCCAAGAGCAGCAAUUGCUUAACCCAGUAGACACCUGA
Molecule: long non-coding RNA, 324 nt
Filed under: Monodelphis domestica (gray short-tailed opossum)
Lineage: Eukaryota; Metazoa; Chordata; Mammalia; Didelphimorphia; Didelphidae
Description: lncRNA (ENSMODG00000032870.2)
Source: RNAcentral